UACGGAGGGUGCAAGCGUUAUCCGGAUUCACUGGGUUUAAAGGGUGCGUAGGCGGGUAAGUAAGUCCGUGGUGAAAUCUCUGAGCUUAACUCAGAAACUGCCGUGGAUACUAUUUGCCUUGAAUAUUGUGGAGGUGAGCGGAAUAUGUCAUGUAGCGGUGAAAUGCUUAGAUAUGACAUAGAACACCAAUUGCGAAGGCAGCUCGCUACACAAUUAUCGACGCUGAGGCACGAAAGCGUGGGGAUCAAACAGG
This 253-nucleotide ribosomal RNA is filed under the name uncultured bacterium. RNAcentral's name for it is "partial 16S ribosomal RNA". It matches the Rfam family "Bacterial small subunit ribosomal RNA", at positions 524 to 776 of the family's 1533-position model. The record is from RNAcentral.